GUGGAUUAGAUACCCGGGUAGUCCACGCCGUAAACGAUGAAUACUAGGUGUAGGUGGUAUCGACUCCAUCUGUGCCGACGCAAACGCAUUAAGUAUUCCGCCUGGGGACUACGGCCGCAAGGUUGAAACUCAAAGAAAUUGACGGGGACCCGCACAAGCAGCGGAGCAUGGGGUUUAAUUCGAAGCAACGCGAAAAACCUUACCAGAACUUGACAUCUAGCGAAGAACCUUGUAAUGAGGUUCGCCCUUCGGGGCGCGAAGACAGGUGUUGCACGGCCGUCGCCAGCU
RNAcentral lists this ribosomal RNA (288 nucleotides) under uncultured bacterium. RNAcentral describes it as "partial 16S ribosomal RNA". It matches the Rfam family "Bacterial small subunit ribosomal RNA", at positions 773 to 1060 of the family's 1533-position model. The record is from RNAcentral.